RNAcentral lists this ribosomal RNA (795 nucleotides) under uncultured bacterium. Its description in RNAcentral is "bacterial SSU rRNA". It matches the Rfam family "Bacterial small subunit ribosomal RNA", at positions 1 to 809 of the family's 1533-position model. The record is from RNAcentral.
GAAUUCGCCCUUAGAGUUUGAUCCUGGCUCAGGAUGAACGCUGACAGAAUGCUUAACACAUGCAAGUCGAUUCGAUUUACCUUCGGGUAUUGAGGAUGGCGGACGGGUGAGUAACGCGUAAGGAACUUGCCUCUUGGACUGGGACAACUGUUGGAAACGACAGCUAAUACCGGAUAUUAUGAGAUUCUCGCAUGAGAAACUUAUGAAAGCUAUAUGCGCCAAGAGAGAGCCUUGCGUUCCAUUAGCUAGUUGGUGGGGUAAUGGCCCACCAAGGCAACGAUGGAUAGCCGGCCUGAGAGGGUGAACGGCCACAAGGGGACUGAGACACGGCCCUUACUCCUACGGGAGGCAGCAGUGGGGAAUAUUGGACAAUGGGCCACAAGCCUGAUCCAGCAAUUCUGUGUGCACGAUGAAGGUCUUCGGAUUGUAAAGUGCUUUCAGUUGGGAAGAAGAAAGUGACGGUACCAACAGAAGAAGCGACGGCUAAAUACGUGCCAGCAGCCGCGGUAAUACGUAUGUCGCAAGCGUUAUCCGGAUUUAUUGGGCGUAAAGCGCGUCUAGGCGGAAAAAUAAGUCUGAUGUUAAAAUGCGGGGCUCAACUCCGUAUUGCGUUGGAAACUGUUUUUCUAGAGUACUGGAGAGGUGGGCGGAACUACAAGUGUAGAGGUGAAAUUCGUAGAUAUUUGUAGGAAUGCCGAUGGAGAAGUCAGCUCACUGGACAGAUACUGACGCUGAAGCGCGAAAGCGUGGGGAGCAAACAGGAUUAGAUACCCUGGUAGUCCACGCCGUAAACGA